GUCAGUGCCACUCAGGACACAGCAUGGACAUGAGGGCACCUGCUCAGCUCCUGGGGCUCCUGCUGCUCUGGCUCCUAGGUGCCAGAUGUUCCGGCCAAACAGUAACCCAGAGUCCAUCUGUGGUGUCUGCACCUGUAGGAGGCACAGCCACCAUCAAUUGCCAGUCAAGUCCGAGUGUUUACAACAACAAUUAUCUAAACUGGCUUCAGCAGAAACCAGGGCAACGUCCAAAGCUCCUGAUCUAUGAUGCAUCCACUUUAGCCUCUGGGGUCCCCUCGAGGUUCAAGGGCAGUGGCUCUGGGACAUCAUUCACUCUCACCAUCAGCGGGGUGCAGGCUGAGGACGCAGGAACCUACUACUGUGCUGGGUAUUAUUAUACUAGUGGUAGUUGGACUUACACAGUGAUACAAGCCUGAACAAAAACCACCCAUGAAAGCAGAAGUGUGAACCUGAGCUUGCCUAGCUUCCUGGAGCCCUAAUCUACCAACAGUCACUCUCUGUUGCGGUCAGCCUUCCAUGGACUCUUUAACAUAGGGAUCACGCUCUGUGGAAUACUGUAGCCUCUCUCAUUUGCCUUUACUGGGCACUUCCAGUAUAGUACUGAUUUAAAGGAAAGAAAUAAUUAUG
Ochotona curzoniae (black-lipped pika) is the source of this 627-nucleotide non-coding RNA. The record is from the annotation of a RefSeq genome assembly. Lineage: Eukaryota; Metazoa; Chordata; Mammalia; Lagomorpha; Ochotonidae.